CGAUAUCCUAAGGGGUGGCAUGAUCACAUGCCUGAGAUGCGCCUGGCGAACCCUUUGAACCUGAUCCGGAUGAUGCCGGCGUAGGAAUAGGAAACCACUCUGAG
RNAcentral lists this non-coding RNA (104 nucleotides) under Nitrincola sp. A-D6. Its description in RNAcentral is "TPP riboswitch aptamer (THI element)". It matches the Rfam family "TPP riboswitch aptamer (THI element)". From Rfam's summary of the family: Vitamin B(1) in its active form thiamin pyrophosphate (TPP) is an essential coenzyme that is synthesised by coupling of pyrimidine and thiazole moieties in bacteria. The previously detected thiamin-regulatory element, thi box was extended, resulting in a new, highly conserved RNA secondary structure, the THI element, which is widely distributed in eubacteria and also occurs in some archaea. Lineage: Bacteria; Pseudomonadati; Pseudomonadota; Gammaproteobacteria; Oceanospirillales; Oceanospirillaceae. RNAcentral also lists the same sequence under 1 other name. The record is from Rfam by way of RNAcentral.